RNAcentral lists this ribosomal RNA (1794 nucleotides) under Rhipicephalus microplus (southern cattle tick). RNAcentral's name for it is "SSU rRNA". It matches the Rfam family "Eukaryotic small subunit ribosomal RNA", at positions 1 to 1607 of the family's 1831-position model. Lineage: Eukaryota; Metazoa; Arthropoda; Arachnida; Ixodida; Ixodidae. The record is from RNAcentral.
GUUGUCCUGCCGCAGUACACCUCAUAUGUUUGCUCUCAAAGGAUUACAGCCGCCCUGCCAUGUCUAAGUACAUCCGAAAUAAGGCGAGAACGCGAAUGGCUGCAUUGAAAUCAGUUAUGGUUCCUUAGAUCGUUUCUUCCUACUUGGAUAACUGUGGCAAUUCUAGAGCUAAUACAUGCAGUGAGCCUGGAGCCCUUUGGGUAACGGGUGCUUUUAUUAGACCAAGAUCGAUCGGGUUUCGGCCCGUAUUGUGUGGUCACUCUGGAUAACUUUGUGCUGAUCGCAUGGCCGACUUCCUGUCGACGGGUUUCUUUCAAGUGUGCUCGCCGUCUGUGUGUGGGUGGAUUUUGGUAGGUUACUUGCUUACCAUGGUUGUUACGGGUAACGGAGAAUCAGGGUUCGAUUCCGGAGAGGGAGCCUGAGAAACGGCUACCACAUCCAAGGAAGGCAGCAGGCGCGCAAAUUACCCACUCCCGGCACGGGGAGGUAGUGACGAAAAAGAACAAUACACAUACGGGGAUCUUUUGAGGCCCGUAAUUGAAAUGAGUACACUCUAAAUCUUUAACGAGGUCAAUUGCGAGACAAUCUGGUGCCAGCAGCCGCGGUAAUUCCAGCUCCAAUAGCGUAUACUAAAGCUGCUGCGGUUAAAAAGCUCGUAGUUGGAUCUCAGUUCCAGACGAGUAGUGCAUCCACCCGAUGCGCACGCGCUCGGAACUGAACAUCAUGCCGGUUCUUUCUUGGUGCACUUCAUUGUGUGCCUCGAGAUGGCCGGUGCUUUUACUUUGAAAAAAUUAGAGUGCUCAACGCAGGCGAGUCGCCUGAAUAAACUUGCAUGGAAUAAUAGAACAAGACCUCGUUUCUGUUGUGUUGGAAAAUCGAGGGUAACUGAUUCAAGAGGGACGGACGGGGCAUUCGAUGUGCGGCGGCUGGAGUGUGAGGUGUGUGUCGCAAGACGAACUACUGCGAAAGCAUUUGCCAAGAAUGUUUUCAUUGAUCAAGAACGAAAGUCAGAGGUUCGAAGGCGAUCAGAUACCGCCCUAGUUCUGACCAUAAACGAUGCCAACCAGCGAUCCGCCUGAGUUACUCAAAUGACUCGGCGGGCAGCUUCCGGGAAACCAAAUAAACCAAAGUAUUUGGGUUCCGGGGGAAGUAUGGUUGCAAAGCUGAAACUUAAAGGAAUUGACGGAAGGGCACCACCAGGAGUGGAGCCUGCGGCUUAAUUUGACUCAACACGGGAAAACUUACCCGGCCCGGACACUGGGAGGAUUGACAGAUUGAGAGCUCUUUCUUGAUUCGGUGGAUGGUGGCGUGGACCAUGGCCAUUCUUAGUGAGUGGAGCGUUUGUCUGGUUAAUUUUCAAUGUAGAACCGAACGAGACCUCUAGCCUAUUAAUAGGCUGCGGGUUCGCCAGCGAGUGACCUUCUUAGAGGACAGCGGGCUCCUAGCCGCACGAAACAGCGGACUUACGCGCUCGCGGCCCGCCGCGCGCGGCUGUGAUGCCCUUAGAUGUCCGGGGCCGCACGCGCGCUACACUGAAGGAAGCAGCGUCUGUUUAUCCCUGUCUGAAAGAGACUGGGGCCAGCCCAGCCGAUGUUCUAGUGGUUAGAGCAUCCGCCUCGCAUGCAAGAGGUCCGUGGUUCAAAUCCCGGUACCGCGCAGUUCCCAACCGGAUUAAAAAAAAAAAAAUCCGCGUGUUGAUGGAACUGCAUUAAGAGGCCUGGGGUGCGGCCUCACCGGCAAACACCACCGAGAACGCACUCCCUCACCAGAGAAGGAUUGGCCACCCUGGUGCAG